RNAcentral lists this long non-coding RNA (440 nucleotides) under Cinara cedri. Lineage: Eukaryota; Metazoa; Arthropoda; Insecta; Hemiptera; Aphididae. The record is from RNAcentral.
UUAUAUCAUUGUGUUAUUUCAUCAAACAUUUCUGACGAAUUCAAGAAUCGCAAUGGUAUUGUACCGUGCCGUCGACUCCGGUUCACUCGUUCUCUACAUAAUGUUGUGGUGUCGGGUGUGGUUUCAAUGUUUCAUAUCAGUCGAAAUAUACUUCGGUAACGUUUCUCUUUUGAAGUUGAUCUGAGUAAAUAAGUUAAGGACUUUUUUCUGACCGAACAUUACGACAACGUCUCUUUGCCUUGAAAACUCGGUUCAACAGAAUUGGUCUACUUUUCCACUGUCCACCGAGCCAGCAGACGGGUACUAAUUUGUCUAAUUUCAACUUCGGUCUACGCGUCAACUAUCAUAAACGAGCUGGUAGGAAAUAUUUUCAAGGAUCAACAACUUGCAUCAUGGUGAUUUUAUUAGUUGUUAUUAAUGAAAUAUACUUCUUGUUGAUC